This 253-nucleotide ribosomal RNA is filed under the name uncultured bacterium. RNAcentral describes it as "partial 16S ribosomal RNA". It matches the Rfam family "Bacterial small subunit ribosomal RNA", at positions 524 to 776 of the family's 1533-position model. The record is from RNAcentral.
UACGUAGGGGGCGAGCGUUAUCCGGAUUUACUGGGUGUAAAGGGAGCGUAGACGGUUCUGCAAGUCUGAAGUGAAAGCCCGUGGCUUAACCGCAGAACGGCUUUGGAAACUGUGGAACUGGAGUGCUGGAGAGGCAAGCGGAAUUCCUAGUGUAGCGGUGAAAUGCGUAGAUAUUAGGAGGAACACCAGUGGCGAAGGCGGCUUGCUGGACAGUAACUGACGUUGAGGCUCGAAAGCGUGGGGAGCAAACAGG